UGAACGCUGGCGGCGUGCCUAACACAUGCAAGUCGAGCGAUCUCUCGGAGAAGAGCGGCGGACGGGUGAGUAACGCGUGGGUAACCUGCCUCAUACACAUGGAUAACAUACCGAAAGGUAUGCUAAUACAGGAUAAUAUAAGAGAUUCACAUGGAUUUCUUAUCAAAGCUCCGGCGGUAUGAGAUGGACCCCGCGUCUGAUUAGCUAGUUGGUAAGGUGACGGCUUACCAAGGCGACGAUCAGUAGCCGACCUGAGAGGGUGAUCGGCCACAUUGGAACUGAGACACGGUCCAAACUCCUACGGGAGGCAGCAGUGGGGAAUAUUGCACAAUGGGCGAAAGCCUGAUGCAAGCAACGCCGCGUGAGUGAUGAAGGCCUUCGGGUCGUAAAACUCUGUCCUCAAGGAAGAUAAUGACGGUACUUGAGGAGGAAGCCCCGGCUAACUACGUGCCAGCAGCUGC
Molecule: ribosomal RNA, 461 nt
Filed under: uncultured bacterium
Lineage: Bacteria
Description: bacterial SSU rRNA
Rfam family: Bacterial small subunit ribosomal RNA
Source: RNAcentral